This is a non-coding RNA of Camellia sinensis, 693 nucleotides long. The record is from RefSeq and is a predicted model, not a curated record. NCBI's taxonomy places the organism in Eukaryota, Viridiplantae, Streptophyta, Magnoliopsida, Ericales, Theaceae.
UUUGUCCAAAUCAAAAUUCCCUCCUAAUUUUUUGUUUUUUUUGGGACAAAUCCUAGACCUUUUCUUCAGCACUAACAUUUUGAGAAAUUACGCUCUCUCUCUCUCUCCCCUAUUCUGUUUUCUCUUCCUUAUUCUGUUUUAUCUCGGAGCCCUGAUUUUAACCCUCUAGGUGUCACUCUCUCUCAAGAGAUCCUACACUUCCUGCCACCGUCAUCUCCAACUUAAACAACCUAGAUGUAUUCGAGCUCGGUUACAAACUGAGAUACAUGCAGCAAUACAAUGAGGUGGAACUUUCAGCUAUUUGAAUGGGUACAAUUGAUUAGCUUUUGGAAAACUUGUUAAUGUAUGUGUGGUGUCUCCAGGGAAGAUUCAAGUAUCUACCGGCCCAAGUUAGAGCUUUUGGGAUGCUUGCUGGAGGCAUUGGCAUUACUCCAAUGUUCCAGGUACCUAACUUGAUGAAAGAUGAAUAGCUUUCCCCAAACGAGGACUCUUUGUGUUGAACAAAAAAGAUGUAGGUUAUCUUUUAACCCUCAAAAGCAAGUUUUAUUCUUUUGAUUUUUUUUAUUGCAGUCCCACUACUUGUCAUGAAAACAUAGAUUGAUAUUUCUAUUACAUGUUUAAAUUAAUUUGUUAUUUUUAUGUUAUUUUUCAUAUAAAAAAAUUUGUUAGGUGCUUGCAGUUGAUAUUUUUGUU